AUACACCUCACAGAUCCCCUUUAACAAAAUUACCAGACCCUAUAUUUUCUUUCAUCACCAUCACCUGUUUAAUUUGAAGAACAGUUUAUUCAUUUCGGAUACUCAAAAUCAACGAAACCUUAUUUCUGAUUUCACAGAUUGAAACUCGCUGUUAGAAAUCAUAGCUUUAUCCUAACCUCUAUCUCAAAUUCAAAAUCCCUGUUCCAGCAGAAAUCAAAAGGAAACUUUGUAACUCUAGAUCUAGUUGUUUUUCUUCUGAAAUCAUCAGGGGAAGGUGUUUCAUUUUUCUAAUUUUCCCGACAAGAGAACUCAUCAAAAUGGGUAGAAGAAUCUCUUCUCGUAGUUCUUUUAGGUUGAGGUAAUCGUCUGCAACAUUACAAAGAAGGAUUUAACUGCAUCAUAGAUUGGUACUAAUUUCAUGAUUCUCAUGGUAUUGCUCAAGUUAAUAGUGUUCUGUUAAUUGUUUUUUUCUUUGUUGCUUUUCUCCGGUUGAUUUGUCUGCGUUUGAUAUUUCUCUUGUUUUUGUAAAGGUUGGUUUAGACUUUUGAGUAAUGGGUUUUCUUAAUUUUUUAGGUAAGAUUUAUUGCAUACAGUUUUGACAUAUUUGAAAGAUGUGUGGGUUGUUUGUUGUUUGGAUCUGUUUGCAAUGAGGUUGUUUGUUGAUGAUUCUCCACAGAAGAAGGUUCGAUUUCCAACACUCUCAGGUGAGAAGAAGCUGUUGACACCACGGCCACUGCAGAGGACAGGUUUCUUCUCAGUGCUGGAAUCUAGUAUGUUAUCUCCUAGCACUACAGGUGAAGCUUGGGUUAGCCAAGCAUGGAGAGCCAAUUGGUCUUGACGAGAAGCCUAAGGUUGGUAUGAUAGUUAUUGGUUCGGUUGUCGUUGAUCCAAAGACAGGAGCAUGGCUUGGUAAAGGCAAGGUAAGGAUUUCAACUCGAUUGUUUUUACCACUUUCUCGUAUGAAAAUCGUUGGGGGGACUGGAUUACUGCUGGGAAUCAGAACUAUUAUUGUCAUGGUUGGACAUAUUAUACAACUUCAAUUGAAAUAAUGUUAUGGUGUAUGAGAGUAGUACUAUUAGAUGAAAGAAUUGAUACCUAUUGAUUAGGAUUAGUAGUUGGACCCAAGGACAUCUUUGGGUAAAGUGAGGGUAGCGAUGUUGUCACAGUAUACUUGAUACAUUAAUUGCAGUAUAAUUCAUCUUUCAUAAAAUAGCUGUAAGCAAAUUUCUCCUGCACAUGGUUUUGAUAGGGGUACAACAUUCUCAGAGCUUAUUUUUCAUUACAGUUGAAAAGUUGGUGUGAUGCAAUGUGAAUAACAUGAAGCGGAGUCCGUUGAUUAGCUGUGUAUGACUUACUCAUACUUUAGAAUGACCCUUCACGUUUCAGAACUUUAGAACUGAAAUUAAGGUUGUCAUUUUAUUAUUAUGGAUGGCGAAGCCGCUGCAAUGCGCAUUUCAGAUAUGAACUGUUUAUUUACAGAAACUUCAAAAGAGAAUCUUGAAAGCUCACUAUAUGAUUGUGUACUGUUCAAAACAUCUACUGUAUGAAUCACUUUCAGUUAUCUUCACUGCAUAAUUCCUGCAGAAUGGUUAUGUAAUCUCAAAAUUUCACUGUUGUUACUUGCUAACUGAUGAACACAUCAAUCCUCAUGAUAUAAGUAGCGACUAUAUCUUAUGCAUUCUGUAUAUACAUUUUAAUACAUAGUAAGGUUCGUUAAGUUGUUUUUCCUGUGUUUUAGGGUUUUGCGAUACAUGGGAGAAAUUGAUGACAAUACUCCAGUUGUCACUGAGUAGAACUUUAUGUAGCUGAGAAGUAUUAGUGAUACAGAAGUCAGUGAGUGAAUUUCUAGCAAGGUCGAAAAAUGGCUCAAACUAACAUUAGUCAUCUCAUGGUUCUUUCACUAUUUUUAUGUCUUGCAUUUUCUCCAGUUUACUCUUUCUAUCUUAACCCCAACUUUUAUGAGCAAUCCUGCCCAAAGGCUGAAGAAAUUGUGAGGUCUGUUGUUGUGAAAGCUGUCCAAAAAGAAACUCGAAUGGCUGCUUCAUAACUCAGGCUUCAUUUCCACGAUUGUUUUGUUCAGGUUAACAUAAUAGUUAGCGCAGUAUAUGUUUUAACUUCUGAUAGAAAGUACUAAACUAUUGUACUUUUCCUCUUUUCAUUAAUAUAUCUGACUGUCUUUUGUUUUAAUUUUUUCCUUGCUUUCCUUGAAGGGUUGUGAUGCCUCGCUUUUGUUAGACCUUCUUAUAUCUUCUCCAUGUCAAAGUAAUGCAUUCAAUUCGGUUCACCUCAUUUUGGAAACUAGUUGAAACGCUGAUAAAAUUCAUGACCUAUGAUCCUACAAUUUCAAAUCAUGUUUUUUUUUUUCAUCGGCUUCUUGACAUGAUUCUUACUCUGUCCUUUCUCCUUUUGUCUCAGUGUUAGUGUCUCGUAGUAUUGUUUUUAUUUAAUAUCUUACUCAUACUGGUUUUAUUUAAAAUGUCUAUGAAGUCUUAUGCUCAUUAGUGCCUGCCGCCGACUGGUUGAGUUAUUGCUUCACCCAUCUCCUACUGUACUCAUUCAUGCCCUCCACACGGUUGGCAGUAUCGUCACUGGAGAUGAUCGUCAGACCCAGUGUAUCAUUGAGCUUCAAGCGCUUCCCUGCCUCAUGAACCUGUGGACACAACCUUUAAAAGAGUAUCAAGAAAGAAGCUUGCACCAAAAACCAAAUUCAGUCCGUGACAGUUGCUGAUAUUAUUGAUCCUCUAAUUCAUCUGCUUCAAAACGCUGAGUUUGAUAUCAAAAAGGAAGCUGCUUGGGCAAUCUCAAAUGCAACUUCUGGGGGAUCCCAUGAGCAGAUCAAGUACUUCGUGGCUGCAUCAAACCACUGUGCGAUCUUCUAAUAUACCCUGACGCUAGGAUUGUUACUGUCUGUUUGGAAGGUCUCGAGAAUAUUCUGAAAGUUGGUGAGGUUGAGAAGACCAUUGGAAACACUGAUGGUGUGAACUUGUAUGCUCAUAUGAUUGAUGAGGCAGAGGGAUUGGAGAAGAUUGAAAACUUACAGAGUCACGACAACACUGAGAUAUAUGAGAAGGCGGUGAAAAUUCUUGAGACUUACUGGUUGGAGGAGGAAGAUGAAAUGCCUCCUCCAGGUGAUGCUGCCCAAACAGAGUUCCAUUGUGGAGGGACCCAGCCCCAACUUCCUUCUGAUGGAUUUAACUUCGGCUGAAGGUAUACUAUUCCGAUCAGUUGGGCAGCUCAGUUCAUCUUUUUGCUGGUUUUAGUUUAUUUCAUUGUGUGUAGGUUGGUUUCCACCAAUUGUAAGAACAUAAAUUUUUAAGAACUUAAAAAUGGUGUGAAUUCAGUAAUUGUGUAGAAUUUUUUGGGGUUUGACCCAAGUCUCAGCUCAAUUCACAUGUGAAUUCAGUUUGUACAACAAAUUUCAGAUUUGAAUUCAAUGGUGAAUGUUUUGAUUAGUUUAUG
Molecule: long non-coding RNA, 3459 nt
Organism: Papaver somniferum (opium poppy)
Lineage: Eukaryota; Viridiplantae; Streptophyta; Magnoliopsida; Ranunculales; Papaveraceae
Exons: 9
Source: RefSeq, a predicted model, not a curated record